GAUUGCCUAGAGCCUCUUUAAUUGUUUUUACUACAGGUGAAACAAUCCUAAUUGGGGAUGCUCACUUAGGGAAAGCAAACCCACCCAGACACAUUCAGGAAGAAGCAACCUCCCAAAUUAUACUCACACAUCCCCUUUUUUAGGAUGCGCACAAAGCUUAUUCUCUGGACUGCAAACUGAACUCUUCUGCUGAAAUGGUUUUUGUUCCCCUCGCAAAGUCUCUACCAGGUCAACAGACAAGAAAAGUAUUCUAAGAUGCUUUGAGAUCCUCUGAACAGCUCAUCUCCAUUUCUUCUUUUUUUCUAUCUCUAUCCCUAUCUCUGUCUCUCUUUGUCUCAGUCAGAGUGUCUCUGCCUCUCUCUCCUUACCUUAUCUCCAUCCCCAUUUUCUCUCUCUCUCUCUCAAUCUGUUUCUCUUUGUCUCUGUCUCAUUCUUUCUGUUUCUGUCUCUCCCUUUCUCUGUCUCUCCCUAUCUGUCCCUCUGUUUCUGUCUGUCUGUCUCAGUCUCUGUUUCUCUUUGUCUCUGUCUCAUUCUCUCUGUCUCUCUCUUCAUCUCUCCCUCUCUCUCUCUCCCCCAUCUCCAUCUUUCUCUUUCUGUCUCCCCCUUUCUCUGUCUCUGUCUCUGUCCCUCUGUUUCUCUCUCUCUGCCUCUCUCUUCAUCUCUCCCUCUCUCUCUCUCCCCCAUCUCCAUCUUUCUCUUUCUGUCUCCCCCUUUCUCUGUCUCUGUCUCUGUCCCUCUGUUUCUCUCUCUCUGUCUCUGUCUCUCUCUUCAUCUCUCCCUCUCUCUCUCUCCCCCAUCUCCAUCUUUCUCUUUUUGUCUCCCCCUUUCUCUGUCUCUGUCCCUCUGUUUCUCUCUCUCUGUCUCUUUUUGUCUCUGUCUCUCUUUUCAUCUCUCCCUCUCUCUCUCCCCUACCUCCAUCUUUCUCUUUCUGUCUCUCCCUUUCUCUGUCUCUCUUUCUGUCCCUCUGUUUUUUUUCUCUCUCUGUCCCUUACAGUGCUGUCAGCCAUUAUUAUUGGGGCCCUUUACUUACUUCCUUUUCAUUUGGGUACAUUUUUUCUUAUCUAUAAGGCUGUGCAUCCUUGAGGACAGGAGUGAGUCAUAAUCAUCUUUGAAGGCCCUUUCUGGACCUAGCAAGAUUAUUUCCCCAGGUAUUUUGUAUAUCUUUUUAUACAUAGAU
Molecule: long non-coding RNA, 1177 nt
Filed under: Monodelphis domestica (gray short-tailed opossum)
Lineage: Eukaryota; Metazoa; Chordata; Mammalia; Didelphimorphia; Didelphidae
Description: lncRNA (ENSMODG00000050167.1)
Source: RNAcentral